Molecule: ribosomal RNA, 71 nt
Filed under: Leccinum scabrum
Lineage: Eukaryota; Fungi; Basidiomycota; Agaricomycetes; Boletales; Boletaceae
Also listed under: 1 other name
Description: partial 5.8S ribosomal RNA
Rfam family: 5.8S ribosomal RNA
About the family: 5.8S ribosomal RNA (5.8S rRNA) is a component of the large subunit of the eukaryotic ribosome. It is transcribed by RNA polymerase I as part of the 45S precursor that also contains 18S and 28S rRNA.
Source: RNAcentral
GAAUCAUCGAAUCUUUGAACGCACCUUGCGCCCCUUGGUAUUCCGAGGGGCAUGCCUGUUUGAGUGUCAUU